Small nuclear RNA from Rhinolophus ferrumequinum (greater horseshoe bat), 122 nucleotides. Lineage: Eukaryota; Metazoa; Chordata; Mammalia; Chiroptera; Rhinolophidae. The record is from Ensembl.
GUGUUGUAUGGAAAGAAGGUUAGCAACCCCCUUGACAAGGAUGGAAGACGCCCUCGAGCCUGACAGCACGCGUACGAUUAAGGCAUUGCCACCUAAUCCGUGCCAUCUAACCAUCAUUUUUA